AGAUUAAGUUAUUAAGGGCGCACGGUGGAUGCCUUGGCACUAGAAGCCGAUGAAGGACGUUACUAACGACGAUAUGCUUUGGGUAGCUGUAAGUAAGCGUUGAUCCAGAGAUUUCCGAAUGGGGGAACCCAACAUGAGUUAUGUCAUGUUAUCGACAUGUGAAUUCAUAGCAUGUCAGAAGGCAGACCCGGAGAACUGAAACAUCUUAGUACCCGGAGGAAGAGAAAGAAAAAUCGAUUCCCUGAGUAGCGGCGAGCGAAACGGGAAGAGCCCAAACCAACAAGCUUGCUUGUUGGGGUUGUAGGACACUCUAUACGGAGUUACAAAAGAACAUGUUAGACGAAUCAUCUGGAAAGAUGAAUCAAAGAAGGUAAUAAUCCUGUAGUCGAAAACAUAUUCUCUCUUGAGUGGAUCCUGAGUACGACGGAGCACGUGAAAUUCCGUCGGAAUCUGGGAGGACCAUCUCCUAAGGCUAAAUACUCUCUAGUGACCGAUAGUGAACCAGUACCGUGAGGGAAAGGUGAAAAGUACCCCGGAAGGGGAGUGAAAGAGAACUUGAAACCGUGUGCUUACAAGUAGUCAGAGCCCGUUAAUGGGUGAUGGCGUGCCUUUUGUAGAAUGAACCGGCGAGUUACGAUCUGAUGCAAGGUUAAGCAGCAAAUGUGGAGCCGCAGCGAAAGCGAGUCUGAAUAGGGCGUUGAGUAUUUGGUCGUAGACCCGAAACCAGGUGAUCUACCCUUGGUCAGGUUGAAGUUCAGGUAACACUGAAUGGAGGACCGAACCGACUUACGUUGAAAAGUGAGCGGAUGAACUGAGGGUAGCGGAGAAAUUCCAAUCGAACUUGGAGAUAGCUGGUUCUCUCCGAAAUAGCUUUAGGGCUAGCCUCAAGUGAUGAUUAUUGGAGGUAGAGCACUGUUUGGACGAGGGGCCCCUCUCGGGUUACCGAAUUCAGACAAACUCCGAAUGCCAAUUAAUUUAACUUGGGAGUCAGAACAUGGGUGAUAAGGUCCGUGUUCGAAAGGGAAACAGCCCAGACCACCAGCUAAGGUCCCAAAAUAUAUGUUAAGUGGAAAAGGAUGUGGCGUUGCCCAGACAACUAGGAUGUUGGCUUAGAAGCAGCCAUCAUUUAAAGAGUGCGUAAUAGCUCACUAGUCGAGUGACACUGCGCCGAAAAUGUACCGGGGCUAAACAUAUUACCGAAGCUGUGGAUUGUCCUUUGGACAAUGGUAGGAGAGCGUUCUAAGGGCGUCGAAGCAUGAUCGCAAGGACAUGUGGAGCGCUUAGAAGUGAGAAUGCCGGUGUGAGUAGCGAAAGACGGGUGAGAAUCCCGUCCACCGAUUGACUAAGGUUUCCAGAGGAAGGCUCGUCCGCUCUGGGUUAGUCGGGUCCUAAGCUGAGGCCGACAGGCGUAGGCGAUGGAUAACAGGUUGAUAUUCCUGUACCACCUAGUAUCGUUUUAAUCGAUGGGGGGACGCAGUAGGAUAGGCGAAGCGUGCUGUUGGAGUGCACGUCCAAGCAGUAAGGCUGAGUGUUAGGAAAAUCCGGCACUCAUAAGGCUGAGCUGUGAUGGGGAGAGGAAAUUGUUUCCUCGAGUCGUUGAUUUCACACUGCCGAGAAAAGCCUCUAGAUAGAUAACAGGUGCCCGUACCGCAAACCGACACAGGUAGUCAAGAUGAGAAUUCUAAGGUGAGCGAGCGAACUCUCGUUAAGGAACUCGGCAAAAUGACCCCGUAACUUCGGGAGAAGGGGUGCUCUUUAGGGUUCACGCCCAGAAGAGCCGCAGUGAAUAGGCCCAAGCGACUGUUUAUCAAAAACACAGGUCUCUGCUAAACCGUAAGGUGAUGUAUAGGGGCUGACGCCUGCCCGGUGCUGGAAGGUUAAGAGGAGUGGUUAGCUUCUGCGAAGCUACGAAUCGAAGCCCCAGUAAACGGCGGCCGUAACUAUAACGGUCCUAAGGUAGCGAAAUUCCUUGUCGGGUAAGUUCCGACCCGCACGAAAGGCGUAACGAUUUGGGCACUGUCUCAACGAGAGACUCGGUGAAAUCAUAGUACCUGUGAAGAUGCAGGUUACCCGCGACAGGACGGAAAGACCCCGUGGAGCUUUACUGUAGCCUGAUAUUGAAAUUCGGCACAGCUUGUACAGGAUAGGUAGGAGCCUUUGAAACGUGAGCGCUAGCUUACGUGGAGGCGUUGGUGGGAUACUACCCUAGCUGUGUUGGCUUUCUAACCCGCACCACUUAUCGUGGUGGGAGACAGUGUCAGGCGGGCAGUUUGACUGGGGCGGUCGCCUCCUAAAAGGUAACGGAGGCGCUCAAAGGUUCCCUCAGAAUGGUUGGAAAUCAUUCAUAGAGUGUAAAGGCAUAAGGGAGCUUGACUGCGAGACCUACAAGUCGAGCAGGGUCGAAAGACGGACUUAGUGAUCCGGUGGUUCCGCAUGGAAGGGCCAUCGCUCAACGGAUAAAAGCUACCCCGGGGAUAACAGGCUUAUCUCCCCCAAGAGUUCACAUCGACGGGGAGGUUUGGCACCUCGAUGUCGGCUCAUCGCAUCCUGGGGCUGUAGUCGGUCCCAAGGGUUGGGCUGUUCGCCCAUUAAAGCGGUACGCGAGCUGGGUUCAGAACGUCGUGAGACAGUUCGGUCCCUAUCCGUCGUGGGCGUAGGAAAUUUGAGAGGAGCUGUCCUUAGUACGAGAGGACCGGGAUGGACAUACCUCUGGUGUACCAGUUGUCGUGCCAACGGCAUAGCUGGGUAGCUAUGUAUGGACGGGAUAAGUGCUGAAAGCAUCUAAGCAUGAAGCCCCCCUCAAGAUGAGAUUUCCCAACUUCGGUUAUAAGAUCCCUCGAAGAUGACGAGGUUAAUAGGUUCGAGGUGGAAGCGUGGUGACACGUGGAGCUGACGAAUACUAAUCGAUCGAAGACUUAAUCAAUUUUUAAA
RNAcentral lists this ribosomal RNA (2931 nucleotides) under Staphylococcus epidermidis. RNAcentral's name for it is "23S ribosomal RNA". It matches the Rfam family "Bacterial large subunit ribosomal RNA". Lineage: Bacteria; Bacillati; Bacillota; Bacilli; Caryophanales; Staphylococcaceae. The record is from RNAcentral.